ACUCCUACGGGAGGCAGCAGUGGGGAAUAUUGGACAAUGGGCGAAAGCCUGAUCCAGCAACGCCGCGUGAGGGAUGACGGCCUUCGGGUUGUAAACCUCUUUCAGCGGGGACGAAGCGAAAGUGACGGUACCCGCAGAAGGAGCACCGGCCAACUACGUGCCAGCAGCCGCGGUAAUACGUAGGGUGCAAGCGUUGUCCGGAAUUAUUGGGCGUAAAGGGCUCGUAGGCGGUUUGUCACGUCGGGAGUGAAAACUCAGGGCUCAACCCUGAGCGUGCUUUCGAUACGGGCAGACUAGAGGUAUUCAGGGGAGAACGGAAUUCCUGGUGUAGCGGUGGAAUGCGCAGAUAUCAGGAGGAACACCGGUGGCGAAGGCGGUUCUCUGGGAAUUACCUGACGCUGAGGAGCGAAAGCAUGGGGAGCGAACAGGAUUAGAUACCCUGGUAGUCCAUGCCGUAAACGUUGGGCGCUAGGUGUGGGACCCUUCCACGGGUUCCGUGCCGCAGCUAACGCAUUAAGCGCCCCGCCUGGGGAGUACGGCCGCAAGGCUAAAACUCAAAGGAAUUGACGGGGGCCCGCACAAGCGGCGGAGCAUGCUGAUUAAUUCGAUGCAACGCGAAGAACCUUACCUGGGUUUGACAUAUGCCGUUUACCCAUAGAGAUAUGGGGUCAUUUAGUUGGCGGUUUACAGGUGGUGCAUGGUUGUCGUCAGCUCGUGUCGUGAGAUGUUGGGUUAAGUCCCGCAACGAGCGCAGCCCUCGUCCUAUGUUGCCAGCACGUAAUGGUGGGGACUCAUAGGAGACUGCCGGGGUCAACUCGGGGGAAGGUGGGGAUGACGUCAAAUCAUCAUGCCCCUUAUGUCCAGGGCUUCAAGCAUGCUACAAUGGCCGGUACAAAGGGCUGCGAAACCGCAAGGUAGAGCGAAUCCCAAAAAGCCGGUCUCAGUUCGGAUUGGGGUCUGCAACUCGACCCCAUGAAGUCGGAGUCGCUAGU
This 992-nucleotide ribosomal RNA is filed under the name uncultured bacterium. RNAcentral describes it as "bacterial SSU rRNA". It matches the Rfam family "Bacterial small subunit ribosomal RNA", at positions 335 to 1339 of the family's 1533-position model. The record is from RNAcentral.